This 253-nucleotide ribosomal RNA is filed under the name uncultured bacterium. RNAcentral describes it as "partial 16S ribosomal RNA". It matches the Rfam family "Bacterial small subunit ribosomal RNA", at positions 524 to 776 of the family's 1533-position model. The record is from RNAcentral.
CACGUAGGUGGCAAGCGUUAUCCGGAAUUACUGGGCGUAAAGGGUCCGCAGGCGGUGAGGGAAGUCUGGCGUGACAGCGCGCGGCUCACCCGCGCGAGGCCAUCGGAAACUCCUUGACUUGAGUCACAGAGAGGGGUGCAGAAUUCCAGGUGUAGUGGUGGAAUGCGUAGAUAUCCGGAGGAACACCAGUGGCGAAGGCGACUUCCUGGCCUGUUCUUGACGCUGAGGCGCGAAAGCUGGGGGAGCAAACGGG